UAGAUAGAUAGAUAGAUGAUAGAUAGAUAGAUAGAUAGAUAGAUAGAUAGAUAGAUAGAAUUAGAAAAUAUCUUUAUGUAGUACAUGAUUAAAUGCUUUGGCAUAUCUAGGACUUGUAAAACAUACAACUUAUGUCAUAAUUUUAUUGGAGCCACACUGCUACAAUAUUUAACAGUUUAUAUCUCCAUAUAUAUAUUUAUUUACUUCUGCAGUGAGUGCAGUGCAUACAUUCCAGGGGGUUUCAGUAGAUUUGAUGGCCUUCUGGAAUCUACCUUCUUUUCAGCCUUCAUCCACCCCAGCUCUCAAAGUCCUCUGUUGGUGCUAGCCUUCCUUCCUGGGCCUAUGGUCACUUGUGGGUACUAGCCUCCCUUCCUGUCCCCAUGGUGCCCUGUUAGUGCUAGCCGCCCCUUGCUAUCCCUAUGGUCCCCUGUUGUACUGGCCACCCUUCCUGUCCCCAUGGUCACUUGUUGGUGCUGCUGGACUCCACUGUAGUCCCAACAUGGACCCCUGUUGGUGCUGGCCUUCCAUCCUUCCCAAUGGUCCCCUGUUGGUGCUGGACUCUCUUUCUCUCCCCAUAGUCCUUUGUUGGUACUUGGCAUCCCUCUAACCCCCAUGGUCCUAAGUUGGUGCUGGCCUCCCCUCCUUCCCUGUUGGUGCUGGACUCUCCUCUAGUCUGGAUGGUAUAUUGCCAGUUGCCAGUGCUGGCCUCCUUUCCUGUCACCAUGGAUGAAGCUGUCUUUCCCUUCAGGCCCAGUGGUCCCAUGUUCUAACCUUCCUUUGAGCCCCAAUACUAUCCUAUUGAUGCUGAUCUUCCCUCCAAAAGUCAUAGUCCCUUGUUGGUGCUGGGCCUUUUGGUGUCCCCGUGGUCCCCUGUUGGUGCUGCCCCAACCAUGGUUCCCUGUUGAUACUGACCUUUCCUUCACCCCCCCCCCCCCACUGUACCCUGUUGGUCUUGGACGUUUUAUCCUCUCCCCAUAAUCCAUUGUUGGUGCUGCACCCCUCACCCCCAACCCCAUGACACCCUACUCAAGCUGCUUGCUUGACUGUGGAGGACACAUGUUUAACCCCUAAGGUGUCAGGAUGCUAUGUGCUACCCUGGGAUGGGUAAACUCAUUGCUUGGCACUACUAUGUGCUACCCUGGGAUGGGUAAACUCAUUGCCUGGCACUACUAUGCGCUACCCUGACAUGGGUAAAGUCAUUGCUUGGCACUACUGUGUAAAACCCUGGGAUGGGUAAAGUCAUUGCUUGGCACUACUGUGCGCUACCCUUGGUUGGACAAACUCAUUGCUUGGCACUACUGUGUGCUACACUUGGUUGGACAAACUCAUUGUAUGGCACACUGUGUGCUACACUUGGAUGGGGAAAUCCAUUGCUUGCCACUACUGUGUGCUACACUUGGAUGGGGAAAUCCAUUGCUUGCCACUACUAUGUGCUACACUUGGAUGGGGAAAUCCAUUGCUUGCCACUACUGUGUGCUACACUUGGAUGGCGAAAUCCAUUGGCUGCCACUACUAUGUGCUACCCUGGGAUGGGUAAAGUCAUUGCUUGGCACUACUGUGUAAAACCCUGGGAUGGGUAAAGGCAUUGCCUGGCACUACUGUGUGCUAUCCUGGGAUGGGAAAACUCAUUGCUUGGCACUACUGUGUGCUACCCUGGGAUGGACAAACUCAUUGCUUGGCACUACUGUGUGCUACACUUGGAUGGGGAAAUCCAUUGCUUGGCACUACUGUGUGCUACCCUGGGAUGGGAAAACGAAUUGCUUGGCACUACUGUGUGCUGCCCUGGCCUGGCACAUUUUUAAAAUGUGCAAUGGCUAUUACAAUGGGUGGGGGCGGGGGUGAGACUGAGUAGUGUAAUAUAUAACAACCAGCAUACAAUUUGUGAUCAUAGGGCAUUGUUGAUGACCUGAUACUUUCUUGUGAUCUAUUUGUUUUUUUGUUCUCCAUAAAAUAAAAUGUAUAACAAAAGAAAUGCUGGUGAUAAUUAUUUCAUUCCACCUCUAUGUGUCUGUUGCUGUCGUUCUGAUGCCCCUUGCAAUCUUUUCGUCUGGAGCACACCUGAAAAUAUAGUGCCGGCACCGACAAAGAGGAGAUCACCGAAGGCUCUCAUAGGACCCCACUGUUCCCUGGGGGGGCCCCUCUGCGAUGUGCAGCGCACCGCCCGACGCCCCGCACACUAUGCCGCCUGCUGAGGCUGUAGCGCUGCUGGCUCCCGUACAGGACAACGAGGAGACCCCUCUACGGGCGCAACCACACCGAUCACACGAAUGAUCAACAAUUCAAAAAUGAAAGAAUUCUAUCAGAUCCUCCGAAUAUUUCCAGAUCUGAUCCUCUCCCCAAAUCUUUAUAAAAUGAAGAAAACGAAAAAUGUCACAAAUGAGACGAAUUUCUUUGAUUAUUACCAAUUUCCCUUUCUCUAUCAUUCCAAUCCUCCAAACUCGCUCCGUAUUUACCAAACGAAUGUUUUUAAUUCUUGUUGCAUUUACAAUGUUUCGUUUUAGUUACUGAUAGCGUUUGAAACCUAAAAAUCAAGCUAUCGACUUAUUCUUCUUGCUUUUUUUUUUCGUUACAUAGGAAAACAUUUCGUUGAAAUUAAAUGUAAAUUAAAUGCUGUAAUAAAAAAAAAAAAAAAUAGCAGAAUGUAUAAUUUUUUUCUUGUAAAUUCGUACAUAGGUCGAUGUUUUAUUCGUUAUUAGGUGACUGGAGGAGUGCAGGAAUUAAAAGGAGUCAUUAAUGACAUUUCUCAGUCAAAUCUCAUUGUGUUGCAGUGACAUGGAAGGGAAAUUGGCGGUUCUGGGGGAACUCAAUGAGAAGGCAACAAGCUUCUGCUCACCUCCCUGUUCUAUCAAUCAUUAACUUCAUAUCUGCAAUACUUUUCUCUCCCUCUUUUUUUUUUAAACGUAUGCAAAACUAUUUCGUUCUGUCUGCAUGGGAAAGAGAAAUAAAUUAUAAGAAAAGCAAA
This is a long non-coding RNA of Rana temporaria (common frog), 2962 nucleotides long. RefSeq lists it as uncharacterized. The record is from RefSeq and is a predicted model, not a curated record. Lineage: Eukaryota; Metazoa; Chordata; Amphibia; Anura; Ranidae. The transcript is spliced from 2 exons.